This 216-nucleotide ribosomal RNA is filed under the name Glomeromycotina sp. RNAcentral's name for it is "partial small subunit ribosomal RNA". The stretch from base 87 to 216 matches the Rfam family "Eukaryotic small subunit ribosomal RNA", at positions 733 to 864 of the family's 1831-position model. The record is from RNAcentral. Lineage: Eukaryota; Fungi; Glomeromycota.
GGGUCAGUAGGUUGGUCGUGCCACCGGUACGUACUGGUCUCACUGAUUCCUCCUUCCUGAAGAACCGUGAUGCCAUUAAUUUGGCGUUGCGGGGAAACAGGACUGUUACUUUGAAAAAAUUAGAGUGUUUAAAGCAAGCUAACGCUUGAAUACAUUAGCAUGGAAUAAUGAAAUAGGACGAUCGAUCCUAUUUUGUUGGUUUCUAGGAUUGACGUA